RNAcentral lists this ribosomal RNA (933 nucleotides) under Triticum aestivum (bread wheat). RNAcentral describes it as "partial small subunit ribosomal RNA". The record is from RNAcentral. Lineage: Eukaryota; Viridiplantae; Streptophyta; Magnoliopsida; Poales; Poaceae.
AUGGCCAACGUUGUCCUCAACUUCAACGCGUUCCUAGAGAAAACCAAGCUGAAAGACGAUGGCAGCAACUAUACGGACUGGGUCCAGAACCUGAGGAUCAUCCUCAUAGCUGCCAAGAAAGAUUAUGUCCUAGAAGCACCGCUAGAUGACGCACCUGUCCCACAGAACCAAGACGUUAUGAAUGCUUGGCAGACACGUGCUGAUGAUUACUCCCUCGUUCAGUGUGGCAUGCUUUACAGCUUAGAACCGGGGCUCCAAAAGCGUUUUGAGAGACACGGAGCAUAUGAGAUGUUCGAAGAGCUGAAAAUGGUUUUUCAAGCUCAUGCCCGGGUCGAGAGAUAUGAAGUCUCCGACAAGUUCUUCAGUUGUAAGAUGGAGGAAAAUAGUUCUGUCAGUGAGCACAUACUCAAAAUGUCUGGGUUGCAUAACCGCUUGACUCAGCUGGGAGUUAAUCUCCCGGAUGACGCGGUCAUUGACAGAAUCCUUCAGUCGCUUCCACCAAGCUACAAUAGCUUUGUGAUGAACUUUAAUAUGCAGGGGAUGGAAAAGACCAUUCCUGAAGUAUUUGCAAUGCUGAAAUCAGCAGAGGUAGAAGUCAAAAAGGAACAUCAAGUGUUGAUGGCGAAUAAAACCACUAAGUUCAAGAAAGGCAAGGGUAAGAAGAACUUCAAGAAGGAUGGCAAGGGAGUUGCCGCACCCGGUAAGCAAGCUGCCGGGAAGAAGCCAAGGAAUGGACCCAAGCCCGAGACUGAGUGUUUUUAUUGCAAGGGAAGUGGUCACUGGAAGCGGAACUGCCCCAAAUACUUAGCGGACAAGAAGGCUGGCAUCAUGAAAGGUAUAUGUGAUAUACAUGUAAUUGAUGUGUACCUUACCAGUACUCGUAGUAGCUCCUGGGUAUUUGAUACCGGUGCGGUUGCUCACAUUUGUAACUGA